This 480-nucleotide ribosomal RNA is filed under the name uncultured Bacteroidota bacterium. RNAcentral's name for it is "bacterial SSU rRNA". It matches the Rfam family "Bacterial small subunit ribosomal RNA", at positions 9 to 481 of the family's 1533-position model. The record is from RNAcentral. Lineage: Bacteria; Pseudomonadati; Bacteroidota.
GAGUUUGAUCCUGGCUCAGGAUGAACGCUAGCGGCAGGCUUAAUACAUGCAAGUCGAGGGGCAGCAGCUUUAUAGCAAUAUAGAGGCUGGCGACCGGCAAACGGGUGCGGAACACGUACACAACCUUCCUUGAAUAGGGGGAUAGCCCAUAGAAAUGUGGAUUAAUACCCCGUAAUAUAGCGGUGUGGCAUCACACUGUUAUUAUAGUUUCGGCGAUUCGAGAUGGGUGUGCGGCUGAUUAGGUAGUUGGCGGGGUAAAGGCCCACCAAGCCUUCGAUCAGUAGCUGAUGUGAGAGCAUGAUCAGCCACACGGGCACUGAGACACGGGCCCGACUCCUACGGGAGGCAGCAGUAAGGAAUAUUGGUCAAUGGACGCAAGUCUGAACCAGCCAUGCCGCGUGAAGGAUGAAGGUCCUCUGGAUUGUAAACUUCUUUUAUAGGGGGCGAAAAAAGGUCUUUCUAGAUCACUGACAGUACCGU